Molecule: long non-coding RNA, 546 nt
Organism: Oreochromis aureus
Lineage: Eukaryota; Metazoa; Chordata; Actinopteri; Cichliformes; Cichlidae
Source: Ensembl
AGAGGCUCAACCAUUUCCAGUCUAUCCUAACUUCAGAAUCUGAGUUUCAGCAAGAAGGAGAUUAUUUAAUAGGCGGACUUUUUGAUAUUCAUCAUGUCAAUAGCUCUGUUCAUCAUUAUAGACCAGAAGCAAUUGACUGCUCCAGAGCACCAUCUCAUGAUCAUCUUUACUUCAUUAAUGUCAUACGGAGGUCAGGUAUGCAAUAAUAUCUUCUAAAAAUACAUUAAAUAUAAUAACUUCAUACAUUUUUCCAAGCUUGACCUGACAAACCUCUAUAGCAACAGUUUUUAAAGCAAUUUUCCAAAAGUUUUUGUAUGCUGGUUUAACCCAAGUACUGCAGUUCUGAGUUAUUUUAUUCUUAAAUUGUGUUCUAGGCUUUGGUAGCAUUUGUUCAUGUAAAUACUGUAUCUUCUUUUAUACUAAAUUAGGAAGAAAGGAAAUGGUUUUCCAUGAGACAAGAGCACGCAUUUGUUUAUAUAUCAGACAUAAGCCUUAUGUGUAAAAUAUGGCAUUUGAAUCCCUUUCCAUGUGUUUCCUCUACACUUA